AAGCUAUAGUCCCCCGGCCCUCUCGGGUCGGGGUCUUCUAUACCACCCUUUGCUUAUUACACUUUUGUUGCUUUGGCAGGCCUGCCUUUAGGCUGCUGGCUCCGGCCGGCGAGCGUCUGCCAGAGAACCUAAACUCUGUUUGUCUAUACUGUCUGAGUACUAUAUAAUAGUUA
Molecule: unclassified non-coding RNA, 173 nt
Filed under: uncultured Geomyces
Lineage: Eukaryota; Fungi; Ascomycota; Leotiomycetes; Myxotrichaceae
Description: sequence contains ITS1
Source: RNAcentral